GUCCCGAAAUCCAUCGGAUCCAGCCUCUUCCGACAGUUUAUUUUCACAUAACGUUGGGUCAUCCAAGAAUUUUUCUAUUGGAUUUCCAUCCAACAUAUAAUCAGGUGGUUGAGGAAAAUGUUUGCGUAUCGCUCUUACUUACAGAAGAAGCCUUAGCGUAUGGAAGAAUAUACUGGAAAACGUCUGCACAUUGUUCUUUUGUUUGAUAAUCUCCGUGGCUUGUAUUUUUAUGCACGGAUAGAUCGUCUUCGUACGAUGAAUCAGAUCUAAGAUGCAAACCAUACAAACAAAAAAAACAUUGAUCUAAAGCGGUGUCGAUU
This 320-nucleotide long non-coding RNA is filed under the name Helianthus annuus (common sunflower). RNAcentral's name for it is "sRNA HanXRQr2_Chr03g0120511". Lineage: Eukaryota; Viridiplantae; Streptophyta; Magnoliopsida; Asterales; Asteraceae. The record is from RNAcentral.